GUGGCGAACGGGUGAGUAACACGUGAGUAACCUGCCCCGGACUCUGGAAUAAGCGCUGGAAACGGCGUCUAAUACCGGAUACGAGACGCAACCGCAUGGUUAGUGUCUGGAAAGUUUUUCGGUCUGGGAUGGACUCGCGGCCUAUCAGCUUGUUGGUGAGGUAAUGGCUCACCAAGGCGACGACGGGUAGCCGGCCUGAGAGGGCGACCGGCCACACUGGGACUGAGACACGGCCCAGACUCCUACGGGAGGCAGCAGUGGGGAAUAUUGCACAAUGGGCGAAAGCCUGAUGCAGCGACGCCGCGUGAGGGAUGACGGCCUUCGGGUUGUAAACCUCUUUCAGCAGGGAAGAAGCGAAAGUGACGGUACCUGCAGAAGAAGCACCGGCUAACUACGUGCCAGCAGCCGCGGUAAUACGUAGGGUGCGAGCGUUGUCCGGAAUUAUUGGGCGUAAAGAGCUUGUAGGCGGUUUGUCGCGUCUGCUGUGAAAAUCCGGGGCUCAACCCCGGACUUGCAGUGGGUACGGGCAGACUAGAGUGUGGUAGGGGAGACUGGAAUUCCUGGUGUAGCGGUGAAAUGCGCAGAUAUCAGGAGGAACACCGAUGGCGAAGGCAGGUCUCUGGGCCACUACUGACGCUGAGAAGCGAAAGCAUGGGGAGCGAACAGGAUUAGAUACCCUGGUAGUCCAUGCCGUAAACGU
Molecule: ribosomal RNA, 700 nt
Filed under: Actinomycetes bacterium
Lineage: Bacteria; Bacillati; Actinomycetota; Actinomycetes
Description: bacterial SSU rRNA
Rfam family: Bacterial small subunit ribosomal RNA
Source: RNAcentral